Molecule: non-coding RNA, 30 nt
Filed under: Macaca fascicularis (crab-eating macaque)
Lineage: Eukaryota; Metazoa; Chordata; Mammalia; Primates; Cercopithecidae
Also listed under: 1 other name
Source: RNAcentral
GAGGUGUCAUUUCUAAUCACACUGAACGGC